Molecule: ribosomal RNA, 589 nt
Filed under: uncultured bacterium
Lineage: Bacteria
Description: partial 16S ribosomal RNA
Rfam family: Bacterial small subunit ribosomal RNA
Source: RNAcentral
UGGGGAAUUUUGGACAAUGGGCGAAAGCCUGAUCCAGCGAUGCCGCGUGUGUGAAGAAGGCCUUCGGGUUGUAAAGCACUUUUGUCCGGAAAGAAAUCCUGGCUCUAAUACGUCGGGGGAUGACGGUACCGGAAGAAUAAGCACCGGCUAACUACGUGCCAGCAGCCGCGGUAAUACGUAGGGUGCAAGCGUUAAUCGGAAUUACUGGGCGUAAAGCGUGCGCAGGCGGUUUGCUAAGACCGAUGUGAAAUCCCCGGGCUCAACCUGGGAACUGCAUUGGUGACUGGCAGGCUAGAGUAUGGCAGAGGGGGGUAGAAUUCCACGUGUAGCAGUGAAAUGCGUAGAGAUGUGGAGGAAUACCGAUGGCGAAGGCAGCCCCCUGGGCCAAUACUGACGCUCAUGCACGAAAGCGUGGGGGAGCAAAACAGGAUUAGAUACCCUGGUAGUCCCACGCCCUAAAACGAUGUCAACUAGUUGUUGGGGGAUUCAUUUUCCUUAGUAACGUAGCUAACGCGUGAAGUUGACCGCCUGGGGAGUACGGUCGCAAGAUUAAAACUCAAAGGAAUUGACGGGGUCAUAGCUGUUUCCU